CUUGAUGUGGCAGAUUAGUGCAGUAAAUUUAAGCUUUACUUAUAAAGAACCCUCUUUCAUUAAGA
Molecule: transfer RNA, 65 nt
Filed under: Reduvius tenebrosus
Lineage: Eukaryota; Metazoa; Arthropoda; Insecta; Hemiptera; Reduviidae
Description: tRNA-Leu
Source: RNAcentral